RNAcentral lists this unclassified non-coding RNA (507 nucleotides) under plant metagenome. RNAcentral describes it as "partial contains small subunit ribosomal RNA and internal transcribed spacer 1". The stretch from base 6 to 313 matches the Rfam family "Group I catalytic intron". From Rfam's summary of the family: Group I catalytic introns are large self-splicing ribozymes. They catalyse their own excision from mRNA, tRNA and rRNA precursors in a wide range of organisms. The core secondary structure consists of 9 paired regions (P1-P9). The record is from RNAcentral.
AAGUCGUAACAAGGUAUCCUUCCGCGAACCUAGGAAGCCUUUGCUAAGAGCGACUAUAAACAAGUUCAGCAAGUAGCCACCUGGCUGCAACAUGAUCGAAGUGCGGGGAUCUCCUAAAGCCUACGAUACCACCUCUGGAGGGAAACCUCUGGAGUACGGUCAUAAUUCGUUGGGAUGCUACAAUGGACUAUCCGCAGCGAAGCCCCUAACAGCUGCACCAGCUCACGGGGAACGUUCACAGACUAAGUGAUUAUGGGUUGGGGUCAUCGUGAUCCUGCUUAAGAUAUAGUCGGGCUAUCGAGGAGACUCGAUAGGGUGUUUCGCACUGAACCGUUCCGUAGGUGAACCUGCGGAAGGAUCAUUACAGAGUUCAUGCCCGAAAGGGUAGACCUCCCACCCUUGUGUAUUAUUACUUUGUUGCUUUAGCGAGCACCCGCAAGGGGCUCGCUAAAGGAUAAUCAAACUCUUUUUUAUUUUUGUCGUCUGAGUACUAUAUAAUAGUUAAAA